This 466-nucleotide ribosomal RNA is filed under the name uncultured bacterium. Its description in RNAcentral is "partial 16S ribosomal RNA". It matches the Rfam family "Bacterial small subunit ribosomal RNA", at positions 28 to 507 of the family's 1533-position model. The record is from RNAcentral.
GACGAACGCUGGCGGCGUGCUUAACACAUGCAAGUCGAACGGAAAGGCCCUGCUUGCCGGGUACUCGAGUGGCGAACGGGUGAGUAACACGUGGGUGAUCUGCCCUGCACUUCGGGAUAAGCUUGGGAAACUGGGUCUAAUACCGGAUAGGAGCCAUCUUUAGUGUGGUGGUUGGAAAGUUUUUUCGGUGUAGGAUGAGCUCGCGGCCUAUCAGCUUGUUGGUGGGGUAAUGGCCUACCAAGGCGGCGACGGGUAGCCGGCCUGAGAGGGUGUACGGCCACAUUGGGACUGAGAUACGGCCCAGACUCCUACAGGAGGCAGCAGUGGGGAAUAUUGCACAAUGGGCGCAAGCCUGAUGCAGCGACGCCGCGUGGGGGAUGAAGGCCUUCGGGUUGUAAACUCCUUUCGCUAGGGACGAAGCUUUUUUGUGACGGUACCUAGAUAAGAAGCACCGGCUAACUACGUG